UGCAAACUAUUCCACAAGGGACCUCAUGGACGACUUAUUAUGUAUCUAUGGGACCUGGUCUCGUUUGAAGUUGUCCAUUGACAAUGACUUGCUUGACUACAACUGGUAGUUGUACUUUCCUGCAGAAAGUUGGUGGCGUGGCAGUAGAGGAGGAGAACCUCGACCAAUAGCAAGACGCCUAGGUUUUGUUGUCUCAUCUAAAAGGAUCAUCUACUUACAAUGGGACCUGGUCUCGUUUGAAGUUGUCCAUUGACAAUGACCUGCUUGACUACAACUGGUAGUUGUACUUUCCUGCAGAAAGUUGGUGGCGUGGCAGUAGAGGAGGAGAACCUCGACCAAUAGCAAGACGCCUAGGUUUUGUUGUCUCAUCUAAAAGGAUCAUCUACUUACAACAAAACCUAGUUUUUUGCAAACAUCAAGAUUGAACUUUCGAAGGGGAGCCUUGGAGUAACUGGUAAAGUUGUUGCCAGGAGGUCACGGGUUCAAGCCUUGGAGAAAGCCUCUGGCAGAAAUGCAAGGUAAGGUUGCGUACGAUACACCCUUGUGGUGGGCCCUUCCCCGGACACCGCGCAUAGCGGUAGCUUUAGUGCACCAGGCUGCCCUUUUUUAUCAAGAUUGAACUUCUAAGAAGCAAAAGCUACUCUUGAACACAGCUCAUACAAGGGACCUGAUUGCUUGCUCAUCUUAAGUCUUGUGUGUGUUGUAUUAUUGGUUCUUUUGGUCUUACAUUGUAACGACUCCUGAUUAUAAAGGAUAGUAGAUGUGUAGCUUGUCCAAGUUUUAGCUCUAGUCGAAGCAACUAGAGUUGGUUGUUCGAGUCAUUUUUAAGUUGGUCAAGUAUUUGUUCGUCUCAUUCUUGUGUUGUGUCGAGUCCUGGGUAGAGUUGCCUAGGAUGUGUGACUAGAGCUAGCCAGUUGUGUGUUAAGAGCUAUCACACUUGUCUUGUCAUAGAGUUAUUACAAGAGUUGUUGGUGAUUAUAGGAUUUUGUAUCACUUGGUGGCUUGAAGAAGAGUGAAGUUUGGAAAUCCUGAUAGCAAGUCGUGGUUUUUACUUCCUUGAGCAAGGAAGUUUCACUUCUUAACAUAUAAGCAAUGAGCAGUUACGACAAGAACAACAACAACAUACCCAGUGUAAUCCUACAAGUGGGGUCUAGGGAGAGUAGGAUGUACCCCUACCUUCAUGGGGUUGAGAGGAUGUUUCCGAUAGACCCUCGGCGGCUCAAAAGAAGCAUAAUCAAAA
RNAcentral lists this long non-coding RNA (1240 nucleotides) under Capsicum annuum. RNAcentral's name for it is "long non-coding RNA (CANN_LNC007550)". The record is from RNAcentral. Lineage: Eukaryota; Viridiplantae; Streptophyta; Magnoliopsida; Solanales; Solanaceae.